AACGGAACCACAAAAUUUUCAGCAAAUUGAACGUCUAAAGCCUAUAAAGAAAGAAGCAGAUAAGGACGCUUAACAGCUGAUUAAAAGGGAGGGGAAACUAUUUUUCAUAAAUAAGGAGAGAAUGCGAAAAUCACGUCGGAAGGCCGGGUUGAAGGAGGAAGUAUUAUACCGAAACUGGGCAAAAAAUCGUAAUUCGUUGGUUAGUGAUAUUGCUUUCUCCUAGCUAAAUAUGUAUAGUACAGCGUAGUGUAGUGUAGUGUAAGGUAGUUUUGGGAUCAGAGCAGCGAGAAGUAGUGAGAGUUGGUGGUGAAAAAAAUGUAAACAGAAACAGGAAACGAGUGGAUGAGCCGAAACUACGAGUUUUUGAAGGAGAUGGUUUUAAUGAAUGUCCCUUUUUCUUCUUCGCUGCUACAAAAGAAAAAAAAAUGGGGAAAAGACAAGAAAUAUGAAUAAGAAUGGAAGUAGCUUACUUUUCCGAUGGAAGGGAAAUGUACCAAAGUAAUGACGAAAAGGUCACACACUGGAGACUAACUAGAAGCGGUAAGUGCACGUUAGUAUGUCGAUCUGUCCAUAUAUAUAAAGUAAAUAAUCAAAGGAAAGAUGUAAAAUUGGAAAUAAAUGAGAAAGAAAAGAUAUGGAAAUACGAUCCCUAAAAUAACAUGCAAAAAACAGAAACGGUUCAGAUGAAUUCAGGCACUUGGCAUGGUGAGUGGUGGAAAGAAAGACAGUGUGAUGUUGAUGAAUGAAGGAAUAACCAGUAAACAAAUGAGAGAUCCCGUUAGCGACGGAGACAAAAAAGCGGAAGGAAAACGAAGAGAUGAAAAGAGGUGGUGUGAAUGGUUUAGCCUGGAUUUUGAUUUAAAGGAGAUGGUAAAAAAAAAAAAAUUGUGGAAUUAAUGUUAUUGUUGUUUUAGUAAAAGUAGUGGUGGG
Schizosaccharomyces pombe (fission yeast) is the source of this 930-nucleotide non-coding RNA. NCBI's taxonomy places the organism in Eukaryota, Fungi, Ascomycota, Schizosaccharomycetes, Schizosaccharomycetales, Schizosaccharomycetaceae. The record is from the annotation of a GenBank genome assembly.